RNAcentral lists this unclassified non-coding RNA (210 nucleotides) under Hevea brasiliensis (rubber tree). The record is from RNAcentral. Lineage: Eukaryota; Viridiplantae; Streptophyta; Magnoliopsida; Malpighiales; Euphorbiaceae.
CGCGGCUAGGCUGAACGCUCCCUCACAUCAGCAAGGAGCCGGUCAUGGGACUGAAAGCAGGCGACGUCGUUGUUCUCAAAUCAGGCGGUCAGGCGUUGACCGUUUCCGAGGUGACCGACGAGAUGAUCGAAUGUGUCUGGAUCGGCGANGAGGAAGGCGAUCUGUUCCGCGAGAAGCUUCCGGCGUCCGUUCUCGAACUCGCUCACAUCG